UGCCAGCCGCCGCGGUAACACGGAGGGGGUUAGCGUUGUUCGGGAUUACUGGGCGUAAAGCGCACGUAGGCGGAUCAGAGAGUAUAGGGUGAAAUCCCAGGGCUCAACCCUGGAACUGCCUUAUAAACUCCUGGUCUUGAGUUCGAGAGAGGUGAGUGGAAUUCCGAGUGUAGAGGUGAGAUACGUAGAUAUUCGGAGGAACACCAGUGGCGAAGGCGGCUCACUGGCUCGAUACUGACGCUGAGGUGCGAAAGUGUGGGGAGCAAACAGGAUUAGAUA
RNAcentral lists this ribosomal RNA (279 nucleotides) under uncultured bacterium. RNAcentral's name for it is "partial 16S ribosomal RNA". It matches the Rfam family "Bacterial small subunit ribosomal RNA", at positions 506 to 784 of the family's 1533-position model. The record is from RNAcentral.